Molecule: long non-coding RNA, 975 nt
Filed under: Homo sapiens (human)
Lineage: Eukaryota; Metazoa; Chordata; Mammalia; Primates; Hominidae
Description: non-protein coding lnc-IGFLR1-1:2
Source: RNAcentral
GUAAGAGCAGCCAGACCUGGAGGGCUUGGGUAAAAAUGGCUGAAUAUUUAGCUUCGAUAUUCGGGACUGAGAAGGACAAAUCGGGGUCUGCCGGCACGGGGACCGGUGCUCCCGGCUUCACAACAAGCCGACAUUCAGCCAGCCCUGCCCUCUGAGCUCAGGCCCCGCCCCUUUUAAAUUCUGUGCAGACCAUAGUGCUGCUCAACCUGUACCGGAAUCCACAGAACACAGCCCAAACUGCAGACGGAUCACACUGAGGUGUUCACAGAACUGCAGGAGAAGUAUGGGGAGAUUGAAGAGAUGAAUGUGUGCGACAACCUUGGGGACCACCUCGUGGGCAACGUCUAUGUCAAGGUGCUUGCUGCCCCCCACUUAGGGCCCAGAAGUGGAGGCGUUUCAAUGCCUGAUGGUGGCCACUGUAGGCUCUCAGCUUGAAUUUCAUCACUAAAUCCAGUCCAGCCCCAGAGCGGGUAGUGAGUCCCCUGAAGAUCUCUGAGUUCUCCUGCUGACCCUGACUGACAUUUCCUGCAGUUCCGGAGGGAGGAGGAUGGAGAGCGGGCCGUGGCUGAACUCAGUAACCGCUGGUUCAACGGGCAGGCUGUGCACGGGAAUGUACCCGAGGUGGCUUCUGCAACUUCAUGCAUCUGCGGCCCAUUUCCCAGAACCUCCAGAGGCAGCUCUAUGGGCGGGGACCCAGGCGCAGGUCACCCCCGAGGUUCCAUACUGGCCACCAUCCCCGAGAGAGGAACCAUCGGUGUUCCCCUGAUCACUGGCAUGGCCGCUUCUGAGGCCCUGGCCCCCUUACCCUUCACCCCCAACAGGGACAGAUGUUCCUGGCAGGACCUCUCCUCAAAGCCCCCUUCACUCUCCUGCCCCAUCCUUCCCAGGCUCCCGGGCUCCAUAAUGUAAUCUGUUCAGCAUGGAGACCUUCUUCUACCGCCCCUGUCUUAAUAAAGCUGCGUGUUUCACUUCGGC